GACGAACGCUGGCGGCGUGCUUAACACAUGCAAGUCGAACGGUGAAGCGCCUUCCUUUUUGGUGGGUGUGGAUGAGUGGCGAACGGGUGAGUAACACGUGAGUAACCUGCCCCCUUCUUCUGGAUAACCGCAUGAAAGUGUGGCUAAUACGGGAUAUUCUGGGUCUGUCGCAUGAUGGGUCUGGGAAAGAUAUUGUUUCGGUGGGGGAUGGGCUCGCGGCCUAUCAGCUUGUUGGUGGGGUGAUGGCCUACCAAGGCGGUGACGGGUAGCCGGCAUGAGAGGGUGGACGGUCACACUGGGACUGAGACACGGCCCAGACUCCGACGGGAGGCAGCAGUGGGGAAUAUUGCACAAUGGGCGCAAGCCUGAUGCAGCGACGCCGCGUGAGGGAUGGAGGCCUUCGGGUUGUGAACCUCUUUCGCCAGUGAAGCAGGCCUGCCUCGUUUGUGGGUGGGUUGACGGUAGCUGGAUAAGAAGCGCCGGCUAACUACGUG
This 494-nucleotide ribosomal RNA is filed under the name uncultured bacterium. RNAcentral's name for it is "partial 16S ribosomal RNA". It matches the Rfam family "Bacterial small subunit ribosomal RNA", at positions 28 to 507 of the family's 1533-position model. The record is from RNAcentral.